GCAAACGAGAGGCUGAUGUCCAAGACAACAUCCAACCUGCGUCUGAAAGUCAAGACAAGACUCCCGAGAAAGAUUGCCCUUGAAGAGCUAACGCACCUGCCAUCAGGGCUUGCAAAAUGAGUCACAUUUCUUUAACUUUUCCACAUAUAGUCACAUUACAA
Fundulus heteroclitus (mummichog) is the source of this 161-nucleotide long non-coding RNA. RefSeq lists it as uncharacterized. The transcript has 2 exons. NCBI's taxonomy places the organism in Eukaryota, Metazoa, Chordata, Actinopteri, Cyprinodontiformes, Fundulidae. The record is from RefSeq and is a predicted model, not a curated record.